CAAUGGGCGGAAGCCUGAACCAGCCAUGCCGCGUGGCAGGAAGACGGCCCUACGGGUUGUAAACUGGUUUUAUACCGGAAUAAACCUCGAUACGUGUAUCGAGCUGAAUGUACGGUAAGAAUAAGGAUCGGCUAACUCCGUGCCAGCAGCCGGGUAAUACGGAGGAUCCAAGCGUUAUCCGGAU
This 184-nucleotide ribosomal RNA is filed under the name uncultured bacterium. RNAcentral describes it as "partial 16S ribosomal RNA". It matches the Rfam family "Bacterial small subunit ribosomal RNA", at positions 369 to 550 of the family's 1533-position model. The record is from RNAcentral.